Molecule: ribosomal RNA, 280 nt
Filed under: Salmonella enterica
Lineage: Bacteria; Pseudomonadati; Pseudomonadota; Gammaproteobacteria; Enterobacterales; Enterobacteriaceae
Also listed under: 4 other names
Description: partial 23S ribosomal RNA
Rfam family: Bacterial large subunit ribosomal RNA
Source: RNAcentral
UGAGGGGGGCUGCUCCUAGUACGAGAGGACCGGAGUGGACGCAUCACUGGUGUUCGGGUUGUCAUGCCAAUGGCACUGCCCGGUAGCUAAAUGCGGAAAAGAUAAGUGCUGAAAGCAUCUAAGCACGAAACUUGCCCCGAGAUGAGUUCUCCCUGAGACUAUAAGUCUCCUGAAGGAACGUUGAAGACGACGACGUUGAUAGGUCGGGUGUGUAAGCGUAGCGAUACGUUGAGCUAACCGGUACUAAUGAACCGUGAGGCUUAACCUUACAACGCCGAAG